Molecule: long non-coding RNA, 539 nt
Organism: Gossypium arboreum
Lineage: Eukaryota; Viridiplantae; Streptophyta; Magnoliopsida; Malvales; Malvaceae
Exons: 2
Source: RefSeq, a predicted model, not a curated record
GCAGUAGAACAUGGAUAAUGUAUUUGUAAUAUUCUUGGCUAUAAAGCCAAAGAAAAAAGCGAAUGCAAAAAAGGGGGGAUUUUUUGGAAAGAAAAGAAGCAGAGAGUAUUAAUCCAAAAAGAAGGCUAUUUCAAAAAGAGAGGAGAGGGACUUACCUCGUGGCCGUGCCAUCGGAGAUUUCCCCCGUCUUUGGAUUCGGACCCGAAAUGGGGUUGAGGCCCUUUGCUUUCUUGUGUGAUAAAACUCUCCCUUUUAUUUUCUAAAGCAAAACAGGAUUUCAAGUUGUUUUCAUCUUCUUUUUUUAUCUUUUUUAUUGAUGUAUGAGAACAAAGAAAGGGAGCUCACUUACCAGGGCUUCGUGGUCAUGGUCUUAGGCCAUUUUUUCGCACCGUCGGCAACCAGAUAUGGUGGUGGUCCGGCGUCAUGUUUGGGUGAAACCCUAACAGAGGGGGUUGAGACUUUUGGGGUUUGUUUAGAAAAGGGAUUUGUAAGGUAAAAAAAAUAAUAAUAAUGAUAAAGGUUUUAAUGAAAAUUCAAAA